Molecule: long non-coding RNA, 1077 nt
Filed under: Junco hyemalis (dark-eyed junco)
Lineage: Eukaryota; Metazoa; Chordata; Aves; Passeriformes; Passerellidae
Description: lncRNA (ENSJHYG00000001071.1)
Source: RNAcentral
GGCAGGGAUGUGUCUCCCUCCCUGCCAGCUGCAGCAUUCCCACAGUGUGCCCAGUGCAGUGCUGGCAGAGCUCAGCAUGAAGAAUGUCACUGUGGAAAAUGUCUCUGUGACGAGUGGAUGGCAGUCAGGUUUCAGCACAAAGAUAAGGACUCAUGCAUAGACCCUGGAUUUUCUUCUUUCCAGUCCUUUCCCUUCCAGGACAAGGCUGGAGUGUGCAGCUGGAAAUUUUCUCUUCAGCUGACUCUUCAAAGGAAGGUAUUCCCCAUUGGCCAUGUCUCAACAGCAUGGAGCACCACUCUGAGUAGAUAACAGGAGCUUUGGGUGUCCAUCUCAGCACAUGCAAGGGCCUGUGGUCUGUGCAGGAGCGCUCAGUACCAGACAUCACCCACAGGCUGAGCUGGAAGAGGCUGAACAGGAAGGGUCUGGAACACCUCAGAUUGGCCAUGGCAUUGCAUCUGCACAGGAAAACAUCUGUAUCAGCAGAACCAACAGAACUGGACGAAAUCCUAAUUUACCAUGGUCUGUAAAAGAGGCUGAAGUGCCUAUUUCCAGUGAGGCGAAUUUGAAAUUGAAAGAGGAAAACGAGUGCAUUGAAGAGAUCAGAAGCUCCUUUCCAAGCAUGUAUCUGGUGCAGGAUGGUGCUUGGACUCACAUCCCAGGAAGGAAGAGUGAUGAAGAUGAGCACUGCUGGAGCACACCAGGGCUGAGGGCAGCCCUGGGGAGGAUUUGCAGUCUGGGAUGGGAGGAUCACCAUGAUGUGGCUGGGAAGGACCAGGAAAGCUCCCCUGUACCCAAGGGCUUUGGUUCAGUGCCUACAUCUAGGAGGUGCAACAUCAGCCCCAGCUCUGCUCACCUUUCAUCAUGCCCUGUUCCCUCUGACUCAAAUCCUGCUCAGCCACCACCACUGUUAAAUUAGCUGGCAAUAUAUGUGAAUAUGCAGUCCUGGCUUCCUUCAUCUCUUGGCAGUCCCGCUGCACUGAAUUUAAAGUUACACUUUCCUUGUGCCAUUUAUUGUCCUGCUGUUGUGACUAGCAGGUUUCUGUGAGUAUCUGACAGGGUUCUACAGCUUUUCCAAAG